UCUCUCUGAAUCUGCGAACGGCUCCGCACACCAGUUGUAAACCAAAGCAAGCUAGUCCAUGGCCUGGCCCUCACGGGUUGGGCUGUGGACGAUACGGAUAACCCUGGUAAUUCUGAGGCUAAUACGAGACUGCAAUCCCUGGCUAACCGCAAGGAAGGCUGGGGGGCGUGUAAAGGUUUCGCGAGGAAUAACCGGGAAGGGGUACACGCUCUGACCACGACAAAGACAGUUCCGGCAAAUCCUCGGACGAGUUGGUUCUGAGUGGCUCUUGCGAGGUGCUUCUGACCUAUCAACUAGAUGGCAGCGUAACGGACAUGCCAUGGUUACAACGGGUACAGAGGAUUAGGGUUCGAUCCUGGAGAGUGGGCCUGAGAGAUU
This 378-nucleotide ribosomal RNA is filed under the name uncultured myxomycete. RNAcentral describes it as "SSU rRNA". It matches the Rfam family "Eukaryotic small subunit ribosomal RNA", at positions 76 to 405 of the family's 1831-position model. The record is from RNAcentral. Lineage: Eukaryota; Evosea; Eumycetozoa.